RNAcentral lists this ribosomal RNA (254 nucleotides) under uncultured bacterium. RNAcentral's name for it is "partial 16S ribosomal RNA". It matches the Rfam family "Bacterial small subunit ribosomal RNA", at positions 524 to 776 of the family's 1533-position model. The record is from RNAcentral.
UACGUAGGGGGCGAGCGUUGUCCGGAUUUAUUGGGCGUAAAGAGCUCGUAGGCGGCUUGGCAAGUCGGGUGUGAAAACUUCAGGCUCAACCUGGAGAUGGCACUCGAUACUGCUAUGGCUAGAGUCCGGUAGGGGACCACGGAAUUCCUGGUGUAGCGGUGAAAUGCGCAGAUAUCGGGAGGAACACCAACGGCGAAGGCAGCACUCUGGGCUGGAACUGACGCUGAGGAGCGAAAGCGUGGGUAGCAAACAGG